UCUGGUUGGGGGGUGAGGCAGGUAAAGAUUCCCCAGGGUGUGAGUGCCCGAGGAAUGCCCCCAAAACACAGGGGUCCCCUCCCCAAGACUGCAAAUGAGGGCUAGCUCACACCCAGGUCUCCCUCAACACAACACCUGCAGGACAGCAGCGGGCAGGGUGUGGGCAGGAGGGGAGAGGGGGCUGGGCUGCGGGGAGGUCGAGGCGGCACAGCGGCCCCAGGAGCAGCCACAGGGCCGGGCUGCCCACCUGCUGCACAGACGUUCCACCUCCCGGCUCACGCCACUGAUCAUUCCCAUCCCCGGCUCACCCCGUUCAUCUCAAUCACGUCCGUGUGCCAGUUCUUGGUCUCCACGGUUUGUGGGUCCAGCUGCAGAGAGAGAAUGUGGGUGAGAGAGGUGCCAGCUCGGAGGCCAAGCCAGAGAUCUCCCCGUGGGUCAGCACUGCUCAGAGCCAGCUACACAGUCAGGAAGGCGGAAAUGCAGAAACUGAGGCUCACAAAAGGUAAGCACCUGAUUAGGAGGCGCUCAAGUCCAUCAGGAGGGAACCAGCCCAUCCACGUGGAGGUGUUGAAGAGUCAGGAGCCCGCGCACAGGAGGCUGCCUGGGUUUGAAUCCUGGCAAGUUUUAAACUCACUAAGCCUCAGUUAUUCCAUCUGCAACAGAACCUGCCUCCCUGGGAUUGCUGGGAAGAUUCAGGGAGAAAACUUGGGUCAAGCCAUUGGCUCCCAAAUAAGCAAAUCCUCCACAGGGGAAGUCCCCAGGCUCGGGCUGGAGCCCAGGGAGGUGCGGACCCCAGGGGAGGUCAGAGGCAACCCUCACACAGGACUGUUCCACGUUCUGUUUCUGUAACUCGGGGGCCUUCGCGCCCGUCUGCCUGUGCACCUGCGAACUAAUUCUGAGCAACUGUGCGCUCCCUGGCACUUUCUGAAGUCAAAAUCUGAACAUUUCCAAGUUUAAAUAGUUGCAAAGAGUAUGAUUUCCAAAAUCAUGUCAAUAUUGCCAUCCUAAAAUAAAAGUGUGACAUCAUUC
This is a long non-coding RNA of Homo sapiens (human), 1029 nucleotides long. RefSeq lists it as uncharacterized. The record is from RefSeq and is a predicted model, not a curated record. Lineage: Eukaryota; Metazoa; Chordata; Mammalia; Primates; Hominidae. The transcript is spliced from 2 exons.